RNAcentral lists this ribosomal RNA (486 nucleotides) under uncultured bacterium. RNAcentral's name for it is "partial 16S ribosomal RNA". It matches the Rfam family "Bacterial small subunit ribosomal RNA", at positions 30 to 507 of the family's 1533-position model. The record is from RNAcentral.
AUUGAACGCUGGCGGCAUGCCUUACACAUGCAAGUCGAACGGCAGCACGGGUGCUUGCACCCGGUGGCGAGUGGCGAACGGGUGAGUAAUACAUCGGAACAUGUCCUGUAGUGGGGGAUAGCCCGGCGAAAGCCGGAUUAAUACCGCAUACGAUCUACGGAUGAAAGCGGGGGCCCUUCGGGCCUCGCGCUAUAGGGUUGGCCGAUGGCGGAUUAGCUAGUUGGUGGGGUAAAGGCCUACCAAGGCGACGAUCAGUAGCUGGUCUGAGAGGACGACCAGCCACACUGGGACUGAGACACGGCCCAGACUCCUACGGGAGGCAGCAGUGGGGAAUUUUGGACAAUGGGCGAAAGCCUGAUCCAGCAAUGCCGCGUGUGUGAAGAAGGCCUUCGGGUUGUAAAGCACUUUUGUCCGGAAAGAAAUCCUUGGCCCUAAUACGGUCGGGGGAUGACGGUACCGGAAGAAUAAGCACCGGCUAACUACGUG